UUUGGUGUUUAUUUACGCUGAGAGGGUAAACUUACACUAUCCUAGGUUAUUUAACGCUGCUUUGGUGUAAAUCCGCUUGCCUCUGUGGGGACACCAAUUUGGUGUUUGUUUACACUGAGAGAGUAAAUUUACACUAUCCUAGGUUACUUCACACUGCUUUGGUGUAAAUCCGUUUGCCUCUGUGGGGACACCAAUUUGGUGUUUAUUUACACUGAGAGGGUAAACUUACACUGUCCUAGGUUAUUUAACGCUGCUUUGGUGUAAAUCCGCUUGCCUCUGUGGGAACACCAAUUUG
Non-coding RNA from Paramuricea clavata, 295 nucleotides. The record is from the annotation of a GenBank genome assembly. NCBI's taxonomy places the organism in Eukaryota, Metazoa, Cnidaria, Anthozoa, Malacalcyonacea, Plexauridae.